UCUGUUACGAUGGAAUUUCCCCCAGAGUGCUGCACGAAAGCCAUGCUAGCUAUUUAGUUCCCUAAUUUAGCUAGCUACCACCUAACAUGAGCCGACAGCCUAGCUUACUACAGCUCCCACAUUCCUUUACUGCAUUUUCUACGAAUCAAGAAAGUAAAGAAAUGUAAUAAACUCAAGGCUUACCUGGGACCUGAGCCCUAGGACCAUGCCCCAGGACUACCUGACAUGAUGACUCCUUGCUGUCCCCAGUCCACCUGGCCAUGCUGCUGCUCCAGUUUCAACUGGCCUGGGCCCUAGGACCAUGUCCCAGGACUACCUGACAUGAUGACUCCUUGCUGUCCCCAGUCCACCUGGCCAUGCUGCUGCUCCAGUUUCAACUGUUCUGCCUUACUAUUAUUCAACCAUGCUGGUCAUUUAUGAACAUUUGAACAUCUUGGCCACGUUCUGUUAUAAUCUCCACCCGGCACAGCCAGAAGAGGACUGGCCACCCCACAUAUGCUCUCUCUAAUUCUCUCUUUCUUUCUCUCUCUCUCUCGGAGGACCUGAGCCCUAGGACCGUGCCCCAGGACUACCUGACAUGAUGACUCCUUGUUGUCCCCAGUCCACCUGACUGUGCUGCUGCUCCAGUUUCAACUGUUCUGCCUUAUUAUUAUUCGACCAUGCUGGUCAUUUAUGAACAUUUGAACAUCUUGGUCAUGUUCUGUUAUAAUCUCUACCCGGCACAGCCAGAAGAGGACUGGCCACCCCACAUAGCCUGGUUCCUCUCUAGGUUUCUUCCUAGGUUUUGGCCUUUCUAGGGAGUUUUUCCUAGCCACCGUGCUUUUACACCUGCAUUGUUUGCUGUUUGGGGUUUUAGGCUGGGUUUCUGUACAGCACUUUGAGAUAUCAGCUGAUGUACGAAGGGCUAUAUAAAUCAAUUUGAUUUGAUUUGAUUAUU
This is a long non-coding RNA of Oncorhynchus nerka (sockeye salmon), 937 nucleotides long. RefSeq lists it as uncharacterized. Lineage: Eukaryota; Metazoa; Chordata; Actinopteri; Salmoniformes; Salmonidae. The transcript is spliced from 2 exons. The record is from RefSeq and is a predicted model, not a curated record.